Molecule: non-coding RNA, 992 nt
Organism: Cyanistes caeruleus (blue tit)
Lineage: Eukaryota; Metazoa; Chordata; Aves; Passeriformes; Paridae
Source: RefSeq, a predicted model, not a curated record
UGUGCUGGGCAAGAUCAAGGACUGCAUUUCUGGGUACACAGAUACAUUCCUCAAAGUGUAUGAUUGCAGAGUUGUUCCCUCCUUCUCACCAUCACUAAAACAGGAAUUGCAGCAAUUUCUCUUCCAGACCAUUUGGUUAACACAAUCUGAUUUUUGGUGGGGGUGGAGACAAAGCCACAAAGGCCGCUUGAGAGACAGGCUCCUCAAGACUUCUACAGUGGCCAGCAGAGCCGAUCCCUAAAGGCCCGAACGACUGACAUUGGCUGGCCCGAUUAGAGAAGCAGCUAAUGCCUCUGUGAUAACAUAUUUAACAACAAAAAAUAUCACAUGAUGCUCUCUUUCUUGCUGCUCUUGAAGCAGGGGACGGGUGCUGCCGAUCCCCUUCACAGUGGAGGCCGCGGGGCCCUGGCCUGGUGCGGCCCUGAGGCCGAGAGCAGCGGUGUGGCCACGGCCAGCCCGGAGCAGCGGGAGCGGCCAGGUUGCCAUGGCUCUCUCGGCACGGCUCACCAUGAACUUUGCUUGUUCAGCUGCUCUUGGCCAGCCACACUGAGGACAGAAGGCACUCCACGCAAAGGAGAGGUGUGUAGUGGAGCUGGCGGCCAGUACCUACACAAAUAAUUGACGUUCACACCGUCUUGGCAAGUCUGAGAUGCCCCCUGCACUGAGCCCAACACUCAGAGCUUCUGUGGCAUCCACCCUCCCUGCUAUCAGAAGCAGCACCCCUUUGUAUGGGCAGAGGAGAAUCCUGACCACAUCCACACUGAUCUCACUGGUUGCUGGUUAACAGUCAUGAAUACCUCAGCUGCACAGGGAAACCUCUACAAGUGAGAGGAAAAAUACUGAGCUUUCUAACGUCACCCAACAGCUCCUGAAUCAAAUGAAAUCUUUUCCACUGCUACAAAGGAGUUGAUGUGAAAUAGCUCAAAUAUCUUCUGUAAUUGCAAAGUUUAUUCUAACUAGAAAAUUCACUAUAAAGCCACUUGUGGCUUAUA